AACUGGGGAUAAUACCGGAUAGGCAAUUAUUCCUGUAAUGGUUUUUUGUUUAAAUGUUUUUUCGCCUAAGGAUGAGUCUGCGGCCGAUUAGGUAGUUGGUUAGGUAAUGGCUUACCAAGCCGUUGAUCGGUACGGGUUGUGAGAGCAAGAGCCCGGAGAUGGAACCUGAGACAAGGUUCCAGGCCCUACGGGGUGCAGCAGGCGCGAAACCUCCGCAAUGUGAGAAAUCGCGACGGGGGGAUCCCAAGUGCCAUUCUUAACGGGAUGGCUUUUCAUUAGUGUAAAGAGCUUUUGGAAUAAGAGCUGGGCAAGACCGGUGCCAGCCGCCGCGGUAACACCGGCAGCUCUAGUGGUAACAAUUUUUAUUGGGCCUAAAGCGUCCGUAGCCGGUUUAAUAAGUCUCUGGUGAAAUCCUGUAGCUUAACUGUGGGAAUUGCUGGAGAUACUAUUAGACUUGAGACCGGGAGGGGUUAGAGGUACUCCCAGGGUAGAGGUGAAAUUCUGUAAUCCUGGGAGGACCGCCUGUUGCGAAGGCGUCUAACUGGAACGGUUCUGACGGUGAGGGACGAAAGUUAGGGGCGCGAACCGGAUUAGAUACCCGGGUAGUCCUAACUGUAAACGAUGCGGACUUGGU
RNAcentral lists this ribosomal RNA (634 nucleotides) under uncultured rumen archaeon. RNAcentral's name for it is "bacterial SSU rRNA". It matches the Rfam family "Archaeal small subunit ribosomal RNA", at positions 138 to 772 of the family's 1478-position model. The record is from RNAcentral.